Molecule: transfer RNA, 60 nt
Filed under: Cricetulus griseus (Chinese hamster)
Lineage: Eukaryota; Metazoa; Chordata; Mammalia; Rodentia; Cricetidae
Source: Rfam by way of RNAcentral
AUGGCUCAGUGGUUAAGAGCACUGGUUGCAUUUUUAGAGGACCUGGGUUCAAUUCCCAGU